AUUGAACGCUGGCGGCAGGCCUAACACAUGCAAGUCGAGCGGCAGCGGGAAAGUAGCUUGCUACUUUUGCCGGCGAGCGGCGGACGGGUGAGUAAUGCCUGGGGAUCUGCCCAGUCGAGGGGGAUAACUACUGGAAACGGUAGCUAAUACCGCAUACGCCCUACGGGGGAAAGCAGGGGACCUUCGGGCCUUGCGCGAUUGGAUGAACCCAGGUGGGAUUAGCUAGUUGGUGAGGUAAUGGCUCACCAAGGCGACGAUCCCUAGCUGGUCUGAGAGGAGGAGCAGCCACACUGGAACUGAGACACGGUCCAGACUCCUACGGGAGGCAGCAGUGGGGAAUAUUGCACAAUGGGGGAAACCCCGAUGCAGCCAUGCCGCGUGUGUGAAGAAGGCCUUCGGGUUGUAAAGCACUUUCAGCGAGGAGGAAAGGUUGGUAGCUAAUAACUGCCAGCUGUGACGUUACUCGCAGAAGAAGCACCGGCUAACUCCGUGCCAGCCGCCGCAGUAA
This 508-nucleotide ribosomal RNA is filed under the name uncultured bacterium. RNAcentral's name for it is "partial 16S ribosomal RNA". It matches the Rfam family "Bacterial small subunit ribosomal RNA", at positions 29 to 523 of the family's 1533-position model. The record is from RNAcentral.